CUGUGUUCUUCAGUAUAAUAAAACACCUAAUGACUGGUUGUGCGGGUAAUAGCAAGUUUGUUGUCCCUUCGCAUACCAACUAUUGCUCUCGGCUUUGCCUCGAGCAAUAGUUGGUACCUCAGGGACAACAAACUUGCUAUUACCCUCACACCCAGUCAAUAGGUGUAUACUAUUAAUGAACUUAUAGUACUAUUACUGAACUUCAGACGAAAUAUAUAUCGAAAUAUUAAACAGCAUAUACCUAUCUGUACUGAAAAUGCAAAAUAUGCUGUCAUUGUGUCACUGUCAGUUA
This 292-nucleotide long non-coding RNA is filed under the name Mytilus galloprovincialis (Mediterranean mussel). The record is from RNAcentral. Lineage: Eukaryota; Metazoa; Mollusca; Bivalvia; Mytilida; Mytilidae.